Long non-coding RNA from Hippocampus comes (tiger tail seahorse), 731 nucleotides. RefSeq lists it as uncharacterized. The transcript is spliced from 2 exons. The record is from RefSeq and is a predicted model, not a curated record. Lineage: Eukaryota; Metazoa; Chordata; Actinopteri; Syngnathiformes; Syngnathidae.
CAAAGCACAUUUUUCCAUUGCCUUCAUGGCCUCGACUAACACACCGGGAUGACGUUUUAGGUCUUUCAUGCCAAUGUUUUCACUCUCACGCUGCUUCUGAUAACAAAAAUAUUAGAAACUUUAUGUGUCUUGCAACUGGUCCACGGUGCAUUCUGCCUCUCGCUCAUUGAAUCGCCAGGAAAAGCGCUACAGAAUACGGAGGAAUGAAAUUGAAUGAAAUGUCCAAACAUCAAAUGUGUUUUUAGUGUAUUUGAGUGUUUAGGGACACGUUUGACAAUACUGAAAAACAAUCGACAACAGUUUUGAACCGAAACUGAUUCCGCCAUUGACUCCAAACAGUGUUUAUCGCUCUCCUCACAAUGUUGUUGCCCCCCGCCUUUCUUCCAGUGGGUGCUUGAAGGAGGCUGCACUCUUGUGAGCUGCUCUGUUUACGUAAGCUCGAAGUGAGCAUGUUUUCCUCUGCUGUCUACGCCAGGGCCGCAUGUGACCUUAUAUGGAGGCCCAGUUACAACCACCACCGCCCUCCUCCUCCUUCCUCCUUUUUUCUUCCUCUGUCAGCAACUGAAACUUAAAGGCAAAGUUUUCACUUCAUCUGUUCUUGUCAAACUUUCAGGCCCAAGUUUGGGUAGCAAGACAAAUAAGACAAUCCACGAAACUUGCUCUUGGCCGUAAGUUAACGGAUGAGUUUGUUUUCCGUGUUUUAGUUUAAUUUUCCUCAUUACAACCCGCCC